UCCCCCAUUUCCAUCCCAUGCCCUGCCCCUGCCCCUGCCCCAAAGCAAUGUCUACGCAGGCAUCUCCCGGUGCCCAGCAUUGGAUGGUGUGUGGCCGUGUGCAGGAGCCCAGCCCAAGGACUCCGUGGUGAGCAAGGCUCAGGGUCUCCUAGGGGUGAGGGCCUGGGCUGCACCACCAGGGGAUCACCUGGACCCUCAGCAGAAGGUGGAGGGGGCGGGACCUUACCUGUGCGGCCCUGAGAUAGGUGGCGGCCACAGGACUUAGGGUUCAUGGAACCCGCCCGCUGGACCACACCCCCUGGGGGACACCUGAACCUCCCCCAGGGCCUCGGCCGUGAGCUUUGAUUGUAGACACACUUAACGCCACAGCCCCUUGACUAUUCCCUUCGCCUCUGAAAAUCCAGACAGGAUGCUACUGUUCGUGGAAACGUGUAUGUCCUUCGUGUGUUUUUCACUUUGACCAUAAACUCAUCUGCAGCAAAAAUGUAUGCAGAGACCCCGUGUGCACCCAGGGUCUGCAGACGUCUGAGAGUUUGCGUCUCGGUUCCCAGAAGGUGCGGCAGCUUGGAAACAUGUGCCACUAGUUUCUCAUCUCGGUGCAUUUUUGCUCCCCAUGGACACGCUUGUCUCAGAUUUUUUAAAACGCCAAGGGUGGGAGGCAGCAUGAUGCAGAAAGGGCAGAAACCGUAAGAGCUGGAUUUGGGGAUCCUUACUAGACACCUUGGGGCAUGCAGCACAGUGCAGGCCCACGCACGAGGUAAAGAGCCGCAGAAUGUUGUAGUAAAUGAAAUCAUGGUUUUUGGCCAGAAAAACCAUGGGAAGCUUUAUGGAGACGGCAAAGCUUGAGUGGGGCCUUGAAUAAUAAGAACCACCCACUAGCACAGCCAAUAAAAAUGAGAUAGAUUCACUUUCCCUUACAGUGAAGCAAAGAUCACAAAUCCUUAAAGUAAAUGGAUUUUCUCAUUAACCCACAUUCCUCCAAAAGCUUUAAUGGUGCCUACUGUGAAAUGAAAAUGGAGCCUAUUUUCCUUUAAGUUUUAAGUAAACUCUUAAUUCUAGCUGGGAUUCAUUGCCUUGAACCCACUGUGACAUUAGCUGAAGGAGGAGCCCAAUUAAGUUUUUAAUUUUGCUGAGUGAGCCCUCAGGUGCGACUCAUUUGCUAAUUAAGUAAAGCGAGGGGAUUCAAUGAGUGGCGCUGUGAGUGCGGCAGCCCCAGAGCAGAAGAAACAGGUGCAGCCCCUUAGCCACCUUAAGUCAACUGUGAGAAGGUUCACACUA
RNAcentral lists this long non-coding RNA (1278 nucleotides) under Pan troglodytes (chimpanzee). RNAcentral describes it as "long non-coding RNA NONPTRT009900". The record is from RNAcentral. Lineage: Eukaryota; Metazoa; Chordata; Mammalia; Primates; Hominidae.